UUUCUAUUUCAUUUACAAAGGACUUGAUUAUGGUAACCUGAACUAUACUCUGGUUAAGUUUCAUUUAAAAAUAACUUAAUUAGGGUUAAGUUUUUGUUUCACCUACAAAGAACUUGAAAAAGAUCAAGGUCUUGUUAAAAUGCUCAUUUUCACUUAACUACCGAAACAUAGGGCUCGAUAAAAAUAGAGUUGGAUAAGAGAUUUAGUAAAUAACAGCUUUCUAUUCAAUCUCAUCUUCGACGUUGUAGAAGUUCAAAUGAAAUUGCAAAAUAAUCCUAACAAAAAAAAUUAGAAAAAACCCUAACAAAAAACAAUGACAUAAAACCCAACUAAAAAGAAAGAGAAAGAUGAGAUUCGAUCUCAUCUUCGCCAUUAUAGAAGUUUACAUGAAACUCCUAACAAAAAACAACGACAAAAAACCUCAACAAAAAGCUUCAUCCAAAAACAACGAGAAAAAACGCUAACUAGAAACAAAGAGAGAGAUGGAGAUCUGACCUCAUCUUCUAUAUUGUAGAAGUUCAAAUGAAGCUGCAACCAAACAAAAAACAACUCCUAAAAUUUGAAAUGUAAAGGGCUCUAAUGUUUGUUCAGGGGUUUGGACUUCACUGGAAAAAGAGAUGGAACAUGAACUUAGAGAGAAGGAAGAACCUAGAGAGAAGGAGAAAGCUAGGUAUCAAAAAUAGAAGGAACAUUUUUGGAGGAAGUAAAGAAGAGUAAAAAUGUCCAAAAUUGGUCAUUUCUCUAAAGAAUGAAUAAGGGAAGUCAUUAUUUCGAUUUUAAAAGUAUUUUAGUCGACUUCAAUCGAGGUCUGGGGCAUGAUCAGCAGAUUUUACCAGCAGUCCAGGUAACAUUUUCUAACUCAAAACAAUUGAAUCAAAAACCAAUUUCAUUUAAACAAUCUAGCAUAAAGGGAAUGUCAUAUUCACAAUCUCUGUUCCAAUUUAAAUUCACUAGGAAAACCAAAGCUUGAACACUUCCAAAAAGGAAAAUGUUUCUCACUAACCUUGGAUGUUCUUCAGUCACUCUGGAACACAUGUUUCUUUAUUUAAUGGUGCAGCAUGAGAAUGAAAACUACCAGAACCAGGAAGUACCUCUCACACAAACUGGUUGAGGUACUCAUCCACAGUUGUGUAUUUGACAUCAGGAUAUAGCUCUGAAGCCUCCACUCCAAAUGAUGGCUUGAUCUCAAAGUUGGUGUGGUCUCCCUUAACGAAAACAGAGUGACAGAAUGCUAACAUCACAUUGAGUGGAACAGAGGCUUCUGCAAGAAACAGAGGAAAACCAUCAAUCUGAAGACAUUUACCAUCAUUAAAACAUCAACUAUAUGAACAGAGUUUAGGGCCAAAAAAUGGCCUCUGUGGUAAAAAAAUUAUCCUAUGUAGGAACCUUCCCUAACUUACCAUCAAACUAGAACUCUUGAUGCCACCUAGGCACAAUUUUUUAUUUUUUCCCUUUUUUAGUCAUAGGUUGAAACUGCAUUUUGAAAAUGCGGUUUCUGAUUUUAUGUGAAGCCACAUUUUGAACAAUGGCUUGAAACAUGAUCCAAACUCAAUAUCAUUUGACCAAAACAGGCCUUUUUUACCCAAAGUUCAUAUAAACACGUGAUACUUCCAAGUUCAACCAACUCCUCUUUCUUUCUUCUUUUUAUUCCCUUCUUUUUUCAAAUCCAAUGAGCAAUAGUGAAUUGUUAGUCUGUCAUAUGAAUCUCUUAGGAAGACCUUAAUCACGGUCUGGGGCAUGAUCACCAGAUUUUACCAGUAGGCCAGCUAACAUUUUCUAAGAAAAAAGAAUUGAAUCAAGAACCAAUUACAUUUUAACAAUGCAGCAUAAUGGGAAUGCUCUAUUCCCAAUCUCUGUUCCAAUUUAAAUUACUAGGAAAACCAAAGUUUGAACAGUUUCAAAAAAUGAAAAUGUUUCUCACUAACCUUGGAUGUUCUUCAGAACUUGCUCCUCUGGAACAUAUAUCUUCUCAAGGGUUUUUCCAAUCUUCUUUUCCCAUAAGGAGACAAUUUCGUUGAAUGAGUAGGUGUUCUGAGGAGGCCUGAUGUAAAGGAUUUUGUUCAAGGUUCUAGGAUCAUCCGCAGCUUUAAUGGUAUAGGUGCCAAUGUCAUCCUCCUUGUUAAAAACAGCUGGAGAUGCAAAAAUGAAAUGAGUAAAAUAGAGUAGAAUCAUCUUCCUAUUCCUUCAAGCUUGGACUACUCCGUAAUUCCACUUUUUUUGUUUACAGAACACAAACUUGAAAUUAUUUUGAUAUGAAACCAAGUUAUUGUUUUCAUUUAAUGCUCAUGUCAAAAACUCUCAGCUGGAGAGCAACCCAAGAGGACUGUCAAUAUAAAAAAAGAGGCUUUAGCCCAUCCAGUUCAGAUAAUAAUGAUUAAUUACUAGAAGUGCACAAUGGUUCCUCAGUUUGACCACUCCAGGUCACAUGGAUCAUGCUAGUUUCCUGUAUUAUGGCUCAAUUGCAAUGUAGCACCCAAGCAGUCAACCUCAACUGUCGGAAGGUUUUGUUUCUGGGUGAACGGGUUUAACCAGCUGGGGAAAGGGGGAGUGGGGUGGGGUUGUCCAGGUUUCAAAUAGCCACAUUCUGAUUUUCAGGAAUAUAGACCAUUCUCACCUCAACAACGCUGGCAACCCCAUCAAUUUUUUUGCCUGGAGAAGGAUAAUAUGCAGCUAUUGGUUGGUGAAAUGGUAAAUUACACUCUCAAAAGGAUUCCAUGCUCAUCUACAUAACCCGCUGAUUAGUAUUACUUUUUAAGCCCACUAUCAUCAGAUGUCACUGAUACAUGGACCGGUGCAUUCUAACAUCAAAACGAGAAAAUGCAAUGGGAAAUUAAGUUGUAUGAUUUUCAGAGGUUGCUUACCUUUUGGAUUCCCAUCUCCUAAAAUAAUAACUUUAUCCCUGGGGGGAGCGGUGGCUCCAGGCUGUGAAAAUGUAGGAAGGAAAAAGCCAGCAAAUGUGUUGGAGGACACAUAGGUGUAGGGAAUUCCUUCAGCCUCAAUAGUGCGGCGGAUUUGAGCCUUUAUCUCAAAGGCUGUUUUUGCUGGCUCAACCGCAUGUACACGGUCCACAUCAUUUCCAAACUCUGAUGGGAAGAAUCUCUGGAUGAAAUAAAGCACUUUAAGAAGAAGCUGUAUAACUCAAUAGAUUGAAAAACGGGUCAUAUCUAUUUAGUCAUAUUAGCUCACGACAGGGAUCCUAUAUGGGAUACACUUUGACGAACUUGAUACAAGUGUUCAGCAACCAUAAAGACAUACAAUUAGCAAUUCAAACGAUGGAAGGAAAGAGUGCACUGAUCAGGAUUCUUAAAAAGUGAAAGAAAAAACCAUGUAAGAAAUGUGAAAAAAAAAACUACCAAACUUCAUUCAUAGAAGGAAAAUGCGCACUAAUCAGGAUGCUUAGAAGAUGGAAGAAUAAAAACUAAAUGAAAACAGGAGAAAAAAAAAAAAAAAAACUUCAUUCUUGUUUAGUUGUCUUGCUGCUUUUUGAAGCCUUUUGUAUACCAUUUGUCUACAUUGGGUGUGCUGUCUUUUUUUGUUAGGCGCUUCUCUGUUAAUAUAGUUUGUUUUUAGCCUAUCAAAAAAAGGGGGGGGGGGGGGUGGUGGUUGUGGGUGUAUACAAUGGAUUGGAAGUGGUAUAGCAUGCCCCAUGAAAGGGAAUUAGUAUUUAAAAUUUUUUCCUUUUUACAUCAAAAAUUAAGAUUGACUUUAAAGCAUCGAUCCAACCUGAGUCAAUGCACAUGGAUCUAGACAAGAAUCAAGAUUGUUGAUCCUCAAUGAAUAUUGUAUAUAUGGAAUGUUCUUUCAUGCACUUCCAACAUUUCUAAAGAAGGUAUUAUUACAUUAUGCACAAAGGAUAAAGAUAUCACCAACAAAUUAUAACAAAUUCCAAUAAUAAAUAUCAUAGUACUCGGAUUUGCAAAGAAAAGAGGGAAUUAGAAAGAAGAAAAGGAGAAAAGGAGAGAAAUUUCGUCAAUUUGGACAACUUUACCUUGACAUUUCCAGCUUCUUUGAUGGCAGCAAUGAUCUUGACUUGAUCCGACAACUGUGCGCGACCAACGGUCGAGAUGACCACAUCCACUAGAUUAAUCGCCUUCACCAAACUCUCGUGAUCGUAUAGAUCACCCUGCAACAUAACAUAACCAAUCAAUAAACUAUUUCAUAACCCUAAUUCCCCAGUUAAGAAGUAAGAAUCCAAAAGCAGGUGUGUUUUUUCACUUUACUGAAACCAAAAUAACUUAAAACAUAAACAUCCGAACUUUUCUUUUCCUGAGGAUCGCCACUUUUUUCUUUCUGGAUGAAUGAAGAAUUCCAGUUUUCGUUUUUUUAGGAACUUAAACAUCCAAAAAUUCAAGAACUCCAAUUAAUUUCAUUCAUUUUCUCGGCGGCCAAAAGAAGCAAAAAUUAGAAAACCAAGAAUAGCGAGAAAUGAGAGCGAAUAUUACGUACAUACACCAAAGUCACGCCGGAGCUCUUGAAAAUCUCAAUGAUUUCCGACUUGGAAGGAUUCGAAACGGCGGAUUCUCUGACGAGAGCGAAGGUAGGGUGACCGGACUUAGCGCUGGCAGCGACGAUGAAUUUUCCGAUGUAGCCAGUGCCGCCGAUUAUGAGAAUCUUGCUCUUUUCGGACAUUGUGAGCUUUUCCGGCGAAUCUCCCGCGAGAAAUGUGGAAUUGAGAGGACUAAGCGAAAGGUGACUGGAGAGUUGGUGGGCACCAACGGCCAAAGACAAUGCUCUUGUAGGACAGAGCUCGAGGAUAUUAGGAUUAUGUAAUUACGGAACUAGCCUUGUGUUUUGGUGGUAAUCUCCGUUUUGGUUAUAUUUUGAAUGUGGCUUGAUUUUUAUGUGAUUCAUGAAUGUGUCAAAGUUCGCUUGUUUGAAAAUUGGUUUAGAUUGGAAAGUGAAAAAGUGUAUAUCACAUGAGAGAUUUAUAAAUAGAAAAAAAUGUAUUUUCACACACUAAUGUAAAAAUAAUUACAAAAUAAAAACUCUUUAAAUAAUUAUAAAAUAAAAACCCUUUAAAAAUAAUUUAAAUUUUAUGCACUCAUCGAGUACAUGAAAUGAUAAUUUAAUAUAGUUAUGUGUAACGACCCGCUCUCCCAAUAAUGACUCCCCUAGCUUUAAAAAAACGUCUUUAGGAUUAAGAUUGAUACUAUUUAUAAUAACUCGUAAAACCUAAAAAGGUCAUCACGACUUUAAAAUGCGUUUGCAAGAUUAAAAAAAAAUAAAAAAAAUUAUACUUAGAUAGUGUUAGGAACUUUCUCCCCUAUCUGAUGUGUGAUGUUACAAAUAUCCCCCAUGCAGACACAACAUCCUUGUUGUAUCUCAUGGAAUUGUGGAAUUAGAAUGAUAAUUUAAUGUAAUUAUGUGUAACGAUCCACCCUAUUUGAUGUGGGAUGUCACAAAUAUCCUCAUGCAGACACAACGUCUUUGUUGUAUCUCAUGGAAUUGUGGAGUUAAAAUGAUAAUUUAAUGUAGUUAUGUGUAAUGACUCGUUGUCCCAAUCAUGUAGAUAUUAUUCGUUUUGGACCCAAAAAAUGACUUUCCUGACUUUAAAAAAACGUCUAUGUGAUUAAGAUUGAUAUCGUUUAUAAUAACUCGCAGAACCUAAAAAGGUCCCCACGACUUUAAAAUGUGUUUACAAGAUUUUUAAAAAAAAUUAUACUUAUAUAGUGUUAGGAACUUUCUCUCCAUAUGAUGUGAGAUGUCACAAACAUCCCUAUGCAGACACAACGUCCUUAUUAUAUCUCAUGGAAUUAUGGAGUCAAAUAGACAAACACUCCCUAUGAGGCAAACAAACUCCCACACCGAAAUCAGAGAUCAAUUCCGAUAUUAUUUGUAACGAUCUACUCUCAAUUAUAUAAAUAUUGUCCAUUUUAAUCCGAAAGGGCAUUACAGUUUUAAAACGUGUGUACAGGAUUAAGAAAAGCCUUUACAUAUACAGUGUCAUGAUUUUUUUUUUCCUAUCGGAUGUGAGAUGUCAUAUUAUGAAUCCGUCAUUCUGUCUUUAUUCAUUUGUUGCAUUUAAGAUAUUUGAAAAAUUGAGCGAUUUUAUAAAAUGAGUUUUGAAAAGGCAUGAGAGAAGGAAAAAGAUACUAGUUUAAUUAAGGCUUACAACCCGGUCUUCUUAAAGGGUGGUUAAAUUCCCUGCCUAUUAAAUUUCUUAUCAGGUCGUUAGUCAAUGGAUCUAUUAAAUUCUAGUAUGACUUUGUAGAGUAGUAAUUACUCCAUGGGUGAGUAAUUAUUAAUAUGUAGCUGGGAUCAUUAGUAUAUUUUACUACAUUUCCAAUAGAAAAUGCUACCUCAAAUAAGUUACAUGUCUCCGCGAGACACUCAAGAAUUUCAGCAUAUUCCAAGACUUGACUUCCAAGUUAGCCAAAAGACAUGGAUAUGAGAUUUCAAUUGAAAUGAUUAAACCUUUUUAGAAUGUUUUCACUAUAAUUUCAUCGGCACAAAAAAAUAAUUAUAAAACACUAAAAUCUCUUUUAAAAACAUGUCUUUUAUUUUUAAAUUUAAACACUUACUCAUCAUUUUUAUUAGGAAUGAUAAUGAGACAAGUUUUUUUAGAUAUUUGUCUGCCUUGUUCUUAAUGAAAUGGGUUUAAAAUUUAAAUAAACGAAAUUAGAAUGAAUUUGGGAUUUUUUUAAAAACUUGGUACUAGCUAUUGUCUUUUCUCAUCCUAUCUAAAUUAUAUAUAAAAUUAAUUUAGUUUUAUUUUUAUUUCCCUAUUUGAUAUAUAUAUAUAAUUAUUUAUAAAAUACAUUUAUUUUAAUGUAAUUAAAUUUAAAAAAAUCAAAAUAAAUAAAUAAAUAAGACGAGAUGGGCAUGAAAAAUUCACAUACCUACCUUAUUUAAUUUUUUAAAUAAGAUAGAAAUGAGAAUUAUUUUGAAUAAACAAGAUAAGGUUGAAAUGAGAUCAACUCGUCUUAAACUAGUCUCGUUGCUAUCUCUAUUUUUUAUACUUUUUUAGUUGAAAGGGAUAAAUGAAUUAAAGUUAAGGAUUAAGAUUAAAUAUUCUACUUUACAAAAAAAAAAAUGAGACUAUUAAAUAUUAUUAGAAUUUUAUCAACUAGUCAUAAGAGUUUAAAAAAGAAAAUAUUGAUGAACAAUUCGUAGGAGGAAAUGAAUUGAGAAUAAAUUGACCUAGUGAACCUUCAGUUGCAUUGCCUCCUACUAUGUUCCACUUAUUCAGAAACGAAAGAGAAAGGAUGAGGGAUCUAUAACUAUAAGUUAAAAGGACAAAGGAUCAGGACAAAUAGAGGAUAUAUAUUAUGAGAUAUUAUUUCUAAUAGAAUAUGAUAUUUUAAAAUAUUGCAUUUAAUAUCAUUUAGAAAUUCUUCUCUUAUUUUUAUUUUAAUAAAUAAUUUUUAGUAUUUUAGUAAUAAUGUUUAUGAUUAUAAAUAAUAUAUAUAUAUAUAAAAUUAUAUUAUAUACUAAUAUGCUAAAUAUUUAAAAGCAUUACUAGUAAUUAAAUGAUACUAUAUAUUAAUAUGAUCAUUAUAAAUUUUAUUAUACAUAUAUUUUUUAAUUCUUUUAUUAAGAAGAAUAAAUUUAUAAUGUCAGUUAUACCUUAGGAUUGUUGUAUUUAACAUAUAGAGAUACAAAAGCGAGGAAAAAUGCAAAAGAAACUAUGAUUGAGUUAUUCUAUCAUUUACCGACCAAACAUGAUACAAAAUAUAUUAUCUCAUCUUUUAUCUUAUAUUAUAUUAUAUUCAACAAACUAAACAUAACAUAAUAGACCGACAUUCUAUCAAAUUUCUCGUAUUGUGAUUUUAAAACUUGAAUAGUUCAUGAACUAAACAUUAUUGCCUUUUCUUGUCUCAAUGGAAUAAGCGUUUUAAUUGUUCUAUAUGCAUUUCUUCAUCAAGCUCCCUCUUUUGAGCUAGAAAUAUUAUAUUAGGAGCUAGGUACUCCUUUUUGUAUAGCUCCAUCUCUAAUAAGGUACCAAAGAAGAUAAACUACAAAGGCAAAGAAAAUCUAAUUCCAGAAACUUCUACUUGCAUAAGAUUAGAAAGGCACAUUGUCCUAUUACAGAAUAUGCCCAAUGGCAUAGACAAGGAAAUAACCCACUAUUUUCCACACAACAUAUAUUAAGACAGCUGCACAUGUUUGCUUGUUUAGAUAGUGCAGCAUGACAGUGAAAACUACCAGGACCGAAGUCUACCUCUCAAACAAGCUGGUUGAGCAACUCAUCCACAGUUGUGUAUUUGACAUCGGGAUAUAGCUCUGAAGCCUCCACCCCAAAUGAUGGCUCGAUCUCAAAGUUGGUUUGGUCUCCCUUAAUGAAAACAGAGUGAUCGAUUGAUAAUAUUGCAUUGAGUGGAGCAGAGGCUUCUGCAAGAAACAGAGGAAAACCCAUCAAUAUGAAGAUUUUAGCCAUCAGAUCAACUAUAUAAACAGAUUUUGGGGCGAAAAUAGCCUCUAUAACUGAAAAAUUAUCAUAUGUGGAUACCUUCUUUAACUUAUUAUCAAGCUAGGCCUCUUCAUGUCACCUUGGAGUCAUUUAAUUUAAUUUUUUCCUUUUUAAAUGUAAGUUGAAAAUGCAUUUUGAAAAGAGUGUUUGGACACACGAGUCAAAAUAAUUAUCAAAUUGUAAAAAUAACCCUUUUUUCAAUUUUGUUGAGAGAUCCCAGCAGUCAAAAUAAUCAUAUAAUCAAACCCAGUCUUUUUCUUCCCAACCUUUUUUUUUUUGGCCUUAUCUUAAACUUGCUCUAUUUCUUUUUCAUUUAAGACACUCCAGAAAAACUCAAUCUCAUUUCAUAAUGUCCCACUGAAUUUUCUUAUCUCUCAAACAACUUCUCAUUCUCAUUCGUGAUGUUCACCUAAAGUGUUCUAUGAUUAAAUUUUAUUUAUUACGAAUUUAACUAAGGUGAAAUUUUCAUUAAGAUUGGUUAGCUGAAUUGCACUAGUGUUAUGUUUGGUUGUAAAAAACUUAGUUAGAGUUAAAUUUUCAAUCAUAAUAGUAAUAUGAACUCCACUAUGGUUAAGUUUUAUUUACAAAAAACUUAAGUGGGGUUAGAUUUCUAUUUCAUCUACAAAGAACCUGAUUAUGGUAACUUGAACAAUCCUCUGGUUAAGUUUCAUUUAGAAAGAACUUGAUCAGGGUUAAGUUUCCAUUUCACCUAUAAAGAACUUAAGUAAGAUCAAGGUCUUAAUUAAAAUGUUCAUUUGCAUUGAACUACCAAAACAUCGGACUUAGUAAAAACAAAGUUAGAUGAGAGAUCUAGUAAAUGAUAAGUUUCUAUCUGAUCUCGUCGUCAACAUUGUAGAAGUUCAAAUGAAAUUGCAAAAUAACCCUAAUAAAAAAAAAAUUAGAAAAAACCUCUAACCAAAAACAAUGACAAAAAACAAAACUAAAAACAAAGAGAAAGACGAGAUUCGAUCUCAUUUUCGUCACUAUAGAAACUUACAUGAAACUACAAAAAACCUUAGCAAAAAACAACGACGAAAAACAAAGAGAGAUGGAGAUCUGACCUCAUCUUCUAUAUUGUAGAAGUUCAAAUGAAGUUGCAAAACCCCUAACAAAAAACAACUCCUAAAAUUUGAAAUAGAUAAGGCUCUAAUCUUUGUUCAAGGGUUUGAACUUCACCAGAAAAAGAGAUAGAACAUGAACUUAGAGAGAAGGAGAAGGCUAGGUAUAAAAAAAUGGAAGGGGCAUUUUUGGAGGAAAGAAAGAAGAGUAAAAAUGUCCAAAAUUGGUCAUUUCUCAAAGGGAAGUCAUUAUUUCGAUUUUAAAAGCAUUUUAGUCGACUUCAAUCGAGGUCCGGGGCAUGAUCACCAGAUUUUACCAGCAGGUCAGCUAACAUUUUCUAAGUUAAAAACAAUUUAACCAAGAACCAAUUUCAUUUUAACAAUCUAGCAUAAAGAGAAUGUUCUAUUCACAAUCUCUGUUCCAAUUUAAAUUCACUAGGAAAACCAAAACUUGAACACUUCCAAAAAGGAAAAUGUUUCUCACUAACCUUGGAUGUUCUUCAGAACUUGCUCCUCUGGAACGUAUAUCUUCUCAAGGGUUUUUCCAAUCUUCUUCUCCCACAAGGAGACAAUUUCGUUGUAUGAGUAGGUGUUCUGAGGAGGCCUGACGUAAAGGUUUUUGUUCAAGGUUCUAGGAUCAUCCACAGCUUUAAUAGUAUAGGUGCCAAUGUCAUCCUCCUUGUUAAAAACAGCUGGAGAUGCAAAAGUGAAAAUGAGUAAGAUAGAAUAGAAUCACCUUCUUAUUCCUUCAAGCUUAGACUACUCUGUAAUUCCACCUUUUUUCUUUUACAAAACACAAACUUAAAAUUAUUUUCAUAUGAAACCAAGUUAUUGUUUUCAUUUAAUGCUUAUUUUUUCAAAAACUCUCAGUUGGAAAGCAAACCCCAGAGAACUGUUGAUAAAAAAAAGAGGCUUUAGCCCAUCCUGUUCAGUUUAAAACCCAAUAAUAAUUAUUAGUUACUGGAAAUGCAUAAUGGUUCCUUCAGUUCAACCCCUCCAGGUCACCUGGAUCAUGCUAGUUUCCUGGAUUAUGGCUCAACUGCAGUGUCACACCCAAGCAGUUGACCCCAGCUGUCCGGUUUUCAAAUAGCCACAUUUUGGUUUUCAGGAAUACAGACCAUUCUCACCUCAACAACACUGGCAACCCCAUCAAAUUUUCUGCUUGGAGAAGAUAAUAUGCAGCUAGUGGUUGAUGAAUGCACAUUCAAAUAACCCAUUGAUUAGUAUUACCUUUUAAGCCCACUAUCAUCAGAUGUCAUUGAUCAUGGGAGCGAGUGCAUUCUAAGGUCAAAAGAAGAAAAUGAAACAGAAUUUCAGUUGUUUUACGAUUUUCAGAGGUUGCUUACCUUUUGGAUUACCAUCUCCUGGAAUAAUAAUUUUAUCCCUGGGGGGACCAGUGGCUCCAGGCUGUGAUAAUCUAGAAACGAAAAAGGCAGCGGUGGCUUCAAGCUGUGAUAAUCUAGGAAGGAAAAAGCCAGCAAAGAAGUUGGAGGACACGUAGGUGUAGGGAAUCCCUUCAGCCUCAAUAGCGCGGCGGAUUUGAGCCUUUAUCCCAAAUGCUGUUUUUGCAGGGCCAACCGCAUGGAUACGGUCCACAUCAUUUCCAAACUCUGAUGGGAAGAAUCUCUGGAGGAAAUAAAGCACUUUGAGAAGAAGUCAUAUGACUUGAUAGAUGAAAAACCACUCAUAUCUAUUUAGUCAUAAUAGCUCACAGACAGGGAUCAUCCAUGGGAUACACUAUGAUGAACUUGAUACAAGUGUUCAGCAAGAAUAAAGUUACACUUAGCAAUUCAAAUGAUGGAAGGAAGAAGUGCACCGAUCAGGAUGCUUAAAAAGUGAGAGAAAAAACUAAAUGGAGAAGGUGAAGAAAAAAGCUACCAAACUUCAUUCAUGAAAGGAAAAAGUGCACCAAUCAGGAUGCUUAAAAAGUGGAAGAAAAAACUAAAAGAAAAAAGGUAAAAAAAAAAAAAAAAAAAACCCACCAAACCUCAUUCUGUCCUGAAUCACUUCAGUUUUAAUUUUUAAUUUUUAAUUAUUUAAUUAGUGCUCAAAACAUUUGACACUAUUAAAUUAGUCAUUUGACAUAAUGUAUAUGAUGUUAUCCAAUACCCUAUGUUUGUUGCAUAAGUAUAGUCUCCUUACACAUGGGUUCAAUAAAUUGAGAAAAUGAAUAAACGGUGAAGUUUGAACAAAUGAUUUCCAACCAAAAAAAGGAUCUUAUGCCAUGUUGGACAACCGAUUUACCUAAAACUUAAGUUGUUAGGAUUUAAGCCCACGGUGUAUAUCAUGUUGCCCAUCAGUAUCUAUAUCCAACGAAAGGUCAAGAACCUCCUUGAAACGAUCCUAUUCUAACUUGCCCCUAGCUGCCAAACCCUCAAGGGCAUUAGCCUAAGGGCACAAAGUCAAUAUAGCUCAAGAACCUUCCUGAGAUGUUCCUAUUCCAGCUGACCCUAGCGGCUAGAUCUUCAAGGGCAUUAGCCUAAGGGUGCAAAGUAAAAACCAAGUUUGAGAACCUCCUUGAAAGGACCCGAUUAUAAUUGGUCCCUGGCAGCUAGGCCUUCAGGGACAGAGCAUAUGAGUGUAAAGCCAUUCCAGGACAAGAACCUCCUUAGAAGGACCCCAUCACAAUAGACCCCUAUUGGAGCCUAAGAACAAAAAAUGAAUAAUCAUAUGAAGAAAUAAUAAAACAAAGCAUAAAAGAUAGAAGAGAAGAUAAAAAUAACAAUAUCCUAUGCCACCUCAUUGUCCCCUCCUUCCUUGGAUGAUGCCUCGCUUUUAUCAUUGUCCUCCUCAUCGAUUUCCCCCAAGGCCUUCAUUCGACCCAUGAGCUUGUCGACUUUCAAAAAAUGCUCUUGCAUUAUUGAACCUUAUGAAUAAAAUUAUCUUUUACCACUGUCCACAAAUGAUUUUUUUUUUAAAAGAAUGGCUUUGUCUUAGAGUUCUAUCCUUUUCUUUCUGUUUCUCAUGGAUAAAAAAAACCCCAACCCAAAUAUUUUUUUAUAACAAGGAUAAUUUUUUAUACCUAAAGAAUUAAAAUCGACUUUCAAACACCUAAGCGUUGAGACUCAACUCAAUCCAACCUCAGUCAAUUAACAUGGAUCCAGCAAGAAAAGAUUGUUCAUCCUCAAUGAAUAUUGUGAAGAUGGAAUGUUCUUCCAUGCCUUUUCAACACUCUCAACAUUUCUAAAGAUGGUAUUACUACAUCAUGCGCAAAGGAUAAAGGAAUUACCGACAAAUUAUUACAAAUUCCAAUAAUAAAAAUCAUAGGAACUUGUAUUUGCAAAGAAGAGAUGGAAAUAGAAAGAAGAAAAGGAGAGGAAGAGAUUUCGUCAAUUUGGACGACUUUACCUUGACAUUUCCAGCUUCUUUGAUGGCGGCAAUGAUCUUGACUUGAUCCGAGAACUGUGCGCGACCAACGGUCGAGAUGACCACAUCCACUUGCUUAAUCGCCUUCACCAAACUCUCGUGAUCGUGUAGAUCUCCCUGCAACAUAACAGAACCAAUCAAAAAACUAUUUCAAAGCUGUAAUUCUUCAAUAAGAAGUAAGAAUUCAAAAAUUGGUGUGUGUUUCCACUUUGCUGGAACCAAAGCAAAUCAAAACAUAAACAUCCAAAAUUUUCUUUUCUUUUCCUGCGAAACACUACUUUUUCUUUCUUUCUGGAUGAGUGAAGAGUCUCAGUUUUCUUUUUCUUAGGAACUUAAACUUCCAACUCCAAUGAACUUCGUUCAUUUUCUCCGCGGCCAAAAGAAACAAAAACUAGAAAAGAAAAAAUGGCGAGAAAUGAGAGCGAACAGUACGUACAUAUACCAAAGUCACGCCGGAACUCUUGAAACUCUCAAUGAUUUCCGACAUGGAAGGAUUCGAAACGGUGGAUUCUCUGACGAGAGCGAAGGUAGGGUGACCGGACCUAGCGCUGGCAGCGACGAUGAAUUUUCCGAUGUAUCCAGUGCCGCCGAUGAUGAGAAUCUUGCUCUUUUCGGACAUUGUGAGUUUUUCCGACCAAUCUCCGGCAAGAAAUGUGGAAUUGGAAAAGGCUAGCAAGCAGUAAGCAAUGACGACUGACGAGUAGUGCAGUACUGCAGUGUUCUUAUAUAACAAAGCUUGAGGCUAUAUAGAUUAUGUAAUUACGAAACUAGCCUUUUCUUUCAGCAGUAAUUCCCGCUUUGGUCAUCAUAUGUAUGUGGCUCGAUCUUUGUAUGAUUCACGUGUCCCGAUUCAUAUUUGUUUGAAAAUCGGCUUAGAUUAGUCCAAUUUACAAGACUACACCAUCUUUAAUUUGACAAGAGCAUAUAAUAUAUAUAUAUAUUGUAGCAAUCAUUAAUAUUUUAUUUUAUUUUUGGCACGUGUAAUUUUAUCUCUAGCUCCCAUAUCUUAUUUUAUUGCACACUUUUGACUCCGUUUGGCCAUAUUGAUAUAUAUCAUAGAUUUGCCUUAGAUUUUGGUUAAUAAAAUUUUAAUCAUUAUUGCACGUUUUUAUUCUCCACCCAUGUUUAAUAGUAUAUUUUAGAGACUUAUCGUGGAUAACCACCCCUUCACCUCUCCUACUGAAUUGUCAUUUGAUAUUGCUUGGGGAUCCCACAGAGUUGUCUAGUUGAUAGGUUGAUAAAAUUUACAUGCACGGUCAUUUUCAUGUCCUUAAAGCAAAUACAAAUUAAAAUGUGAUCGAUUGAUGCUAAGAUUUGAAUUUAUCUAUUUAAUAUAAAAUUGUCAUGGUCAAAUGUUUAUUGCUACUCCACGAUAGAAUGAUGAUUUUUAUUUUUGUGACAGUAACAUUUCAAAUUAUAAAAAACAAUGAAUUAAACAAUAUUUUUAUAUUCUUUACAAAAUCUUGGAUGUUUAAAAUUAGACCCUUUAAAUAGACACGUGACUUAAAUGGAAUACCAUAUUUGGGAAUGCACUACACUUAACUUGGAUUGGAAUAUAAUUCAAAAUGGAUAACAAUUAGGAAUGCACCAUGCUUAUUUGGAAUUAAGGGAGAGAGGGAUGACUGUUGGAAUCAUGAAAUGUUAUGGAACGGACCCCUUUUUAAAGAUGUAGAUGUCCCUUAAAGAAACGCUUCCAUCAAAAGAGUUGCACCUAACUAAUAAGAGAUGGGAAUGACUUCCAAAAAAUGUAUCACUUCAUGUUGGUGGCCUUUUUAUUAAACCUAGAAGCAUGUGGGGUUAGGCUCACACAUAUCUGGUGUGGCUUGUGCACAUGUGAGCCUAUGUUAGGCCCAAGUCCACAUUCAUCUAGUUGGAUAUAUGCAUAUGUGAGUUUAUGUAAAAACCCAUGUUUUCUUUUAAGCUUACAAAAUACUUGUAAAGUACCUUUUCGACUAGUGAUCUUCUAAGAAACGCUUCCAUCAAAAGAGUUGCACCUAUCUAAUAAGAAAUGGAAAAGGCGUCUAAAGAAGAUCUCACUUUAUGUUGUUGGUGACCUUUUUUCAAUGUUUUUAAAAUUGGACCGAUUAUUAAAUAUAAAAAAAUUACUCAUUCACGGUUCAUUAAUCGGACUGACAGUUGAACCAGUAACGUCAUAAAUAUAUAAUUUAUAAAUUAUUAAAAUAAAAAUAAAAAUGUAUGUAUUGUUUAAAAAUUAAAAUUUUAUUUGAAAAUCAGAAAAUUAGUUUUAAAAUUAAAAUUAAAAUUAAAAUCAUGGGGGGGAGGGGGAGGGGAGGGGGUUCGUUCUGCCAGUGAGAGAGCGACGUCCGACCAAUCAGCAAUUGACGAUAGUGGGAAGAAGCAGCUAGGGUAGUAGGGUAAGAGGGGUUAUUGGAAAAAAUAAUAAUAAUAAAAGAAAGGUUGAACGGUUCAAUGGUCAAAUCGUCGGUUCAAUCGGUCUAAUUCUGGUUUGACUACUUUUCGACCUAAUUCAUCAAACCAAACCGAAAUUGUGACUUGCUGGUUCGAUCCAAUUUUUAAAACCGUGUAUUUUUAUUAAACCUAAAAGGUGGGUGUAGGAUCACACCUAUCCAAUGUGGCUUGUGCACACGUGAGCCUAUGUUACGCCCAUGUACACAUUCAUCCAAUUAGGUCCAUGCAUAUGUGAGUUGAGGUUAAAAACCAUGUUUUCUUUUUACCUUACAAAAUACUUAUAAAGUACUUUUUCUGACUACUAAUCUUCUAAUGUGGGAUUGCUUUUUUCCACCACAUUCCACAUGAAUGCAUAGGUAACUUUGAGCUCAAUUUGUCAUUAACCCAUAAAUGGUUUUGAGUAUGUAAAUUUCUUAUCCACCAAUACCUACUCGUGCAGACGUUAUUGGUUAUCAUUUGGAGAAAGGUGUCCAACCUAUUGAUUGUUGUAAUUUAGAUUGUCCCAAUUCUAAUAGUUGUGGUUUUAAGGCCUAGAAUUGUUUCGUUGAUUCUCAUCUUAACCCUUCUCUUUAUUCAAUGACUUCCCUUGAAAGUAUUAUUUGAUGAUCUCCUAUCAGGGGGUUGGUCUCUUUCUUAUCUUCUCUUCUUUUUAAAUAGUCCAUUACCUUAUCAUGCAAUUCUUUAAAUGAGAUAGCAGUAUCACAAGCUCUCACAACAACAGUGGUCUCUUUGUAUUUUGAACCUAAUUCAUUGAGAGUGUAAACCACCAGAUCAUCAUUGUGCAAGAGUGAACUAAUAAUAGUAAGUUCAUCAACAAUACUUUCGAAGAUUUGGAUGUAUUCACUAAUAGUUUUUUGUUCUUUGAUCGUUUUUAUAGCCUUUCCCAUGAGGUUAGGAUGCAUGACCUUGAGUAAUUGGCAUUAAGUUUUUUUGGGUGAGACCAUGACUCUAAUGCCUUAGUAGCACAAACCACAAAACAAAAAUAGACUCCAAACUACAAUCUAACAUGAGAUGAAAUAACAAAUUAUUUUAAGGUUAAUUUUGUUGACUUUCCAUGAGGUUUUGACUAAAUAUAUUUAGUUCAUAUUAGUUUGAAAUUUCAUCAAAUACCUCCUCUACCCUUCUCACAAAUUAUUUCACUUACCUGUCUUCUAACUCAAAAUAAAGGAAGUAUUUGACGAUAUUUUAAAUUUAUAAAAACUAGGUAUAUUUAACCAAAACUUGAGGGAAAGUAAGUGAAAUUAACCUAAUUAUCUUACUUUUAAUAUAGCCAAUAUUCCAUAUCUCGUAUUGGUACUUUCCUUCUCCUUUCAAAUUGUUGUAGAAGGGCAAAGAUAUGACCGUUGUUACAUGUGCUAAAUCAUAGUAGUAUAUAAAGAAGCAUGCGGAACUAAACUCUUCACAAUGGAAAGUUUUUAAUCGUAGUUACAUCACUACAUCAAUCAACUCUGUGGUGCUAAUUUGGUAAAAUGUCAAAAGACUUUGACCCAUUAAAGGUAAAAAAGAAUAAAAAUAAAAAUUUGUUGUAGCAAUGGAUACUCUAAAACCAUAAAUACAAAGAAUUUAUAUAACCUAUCACUCGUAUUAUUUUACAUUGUAUAAGUUUACAAUAGAAAUGAUCGACUAAAUAUACAUUGGUAAUAUUAUAGCUUAGGGUCAAAUGUCAUGCGUUAUGAAUGUAAAGAAAAAUUGAACUUGAUGAUUUGGUUGAGCCUUUAUUUGCCAUUAAUAUAUGCCUUUAUGGACUGUCCACUGUAAAUUCCUUUCACUCCUCUCAUUGAAGAAUGAAACUCCACACUUUAUUCAAGUUUAAAAUGUUUUCUUGCAUAUUAAGGAGGAAAUUAAAAAAUAAAUAAAUAAAUAAAGGAAAGGAAAAUGAUCCGUUAAAAAACUAUAUUAUGAAUGUUAGAUAUCUUAAAAAACAAAAAAAUAUAUAUUUGUAGACCCCAUUUUGGGGAGCUGUCAUUUUUCUCACGUUUCCUUUCUUGCAGCUAGCUGUGGCCAAGUGUCACCAUCUUGCAUGGCCACGUGUCACUCCCGGAUUAGUCAAUAUGGGAUCAAAAUAGUGGAAUUGAUGGACCCAUCAGAGGAAGACACCUGGAAAGUGAAGAACAUUCUGGAAUCAGGGGAGCGUAUCUUCUGUUAUGGGAAGGUUGCCAGCUGCAGGAGUAGAGGAGUGGAGGCUGGUUGCUGCAGAGAGAGUGGAGGCUGGCAGAGGAGUGGAGGAGAGGUUUUGCUUUUGAAAAGGCCGUUAGAGAUAUUUUUAGGAUGAGGCAGCGGCAUUGAAGGGGAGAGUUUGGAGAGAUUCUUGAGGAGCAAGCUAGAUAUUGAAAAGAGAGAACGAGACAGAGAGAGCUGCAUUGAGAGGGAGGGAUUUCUUUUAAGCUGAGGCUGGUUGCUGCAGAGAGAGUGGAGGCUGGCAGAGGAGUUUUGGAGAGAAAGAGAAGGGUUUUUGGAGAGAAAGAGAAGGGGUUUUGGAGAGAAAGAGAAGGGUUUUUGGAGAGAAAGAGAAGGAGUUUUGGAGGGAACAGAGAGCUAGAGGGGGAGGAAAAACACUAGGAAGAAAAACAGAGAAAUCAGAAGAGACGGUUUUGGGUAGAGGAGGUUAUCAAGAACCAGAAGAAAAGGGCCUCCAGGUUCUUUUUGAGGGGUAAGUUUUCCACUGUGUUCUUGUUCUUUCUUUUUCUCUUCAUAUAUUGUUGUUGAGAUGCAUUGUUGUUGAUCUUUGGAUGGGUUAUACUCUGUUCUUCAUGGUUGACUGCUCCCCUUUUGCUUCUGUUUAUGGCUGAAAAUUGAUUUAAAUCCAUUUUUACCUUCUUUGUGGCAUUUUAAAGAAAGAAAAAGACCUUUUAAUUCACCCAUCUGCAAACCCACUAAUGAAGAGGUGAAGCAUAGUUCUUCAUGCUUCAUCUCAUUUUUCUUCCUCCAUGGCUCUGUUUUUGCUACUUUUCUCUCUGCUCUUCGUGUUUGGACUUUCUUGGAUAUGAAGCCGUAAUGGGGAGUGAGGCUAUGGGAUGACGAGACAGUGAGGGAUUUGGACUCCUUGAAUCCGUUUAUCCUGUAAAGGCUACUAAGGGCUUGGUAGAUCAAUGUUUGAGCAUAUGAACAGAGAGUGGUCUACACCGGGGAUACCAUUAUUGCCAGUGAUCCGUGUGGCAGAGGUUAGUGGGCUGUAGAGAGGGGAUCCUUUCUGACGGAGCAAAGGAACAAGAGAUGAAUUCAUGGGUUUUCUGAAUUGUUUUCACUAAGAAGGAGUUCACCCAGUACUCUUAGGCCUAAGAAGCUCGGCAUUUCUUUGCAAACAUAAGAAGCACAGGCUGGAACUAUGGAGGCCAUAGGUUUUACAUGGUAAAAAAGUGGGUUGACUGAGGAAUUGAGAAAGAAAUAAAGCAAGCAAAGCCGUCAUCGAAUGACGCCGGCGGCGAAGCGCCUCCACUUUGACUACGUCGUGCCCUCAGUUAUCGACUCUAACCACCGCUUCUCUAGUCUACGCGUGUCGCCGGAAGACUUGACGCUGAUCGUUUCUCUGCCUCUCUUUAUUUUCGGCUCUGUCAGGGGUCGAAACUCAUCCUCCGCUGGCGAUUGCGACGAGUGUCUCUCCUAGCUUAAGCCUCACGAUCAGCUUCGGCUGUUCCUGAUCUGCCGUCACGCUUCCCAUGCUCUAUACAUCAACACGCUGCUGGCAUCCAGUCAGGCAUGUCCUUGUAUCGUGUUCCGCAGGGAAUUCUGGGCCUGAUCUGCUCACUGUGGUGAGUGUCGCGCCAUGGAUUUUAACUGAUGGUGUCCCGACGAUUGACAAGAAGUUUUCCGGUGGAUGUGGUUCUUGGCGACGGAAGAAUCUUCGGUGGUGUGUCUAUGUACUUCGGCGAUCCUCUAAAGGACACUAAUCUCCCCAUUAGUUUACGCUGGUGACUGUGGAAGCAGAUUCCGCUUCAUCGGAAAACCCAAUCCUUCUCAAGUGCCUGGAAAAGCAGUCAUUUGUGAUCGGAACUUCACCUCGGCGCCCAAAGUCGCAGCGUUCUCCAACUGGUUUAGACAUCGACGAGAGACAAGUUGAUUUUAAUAUAAUUUCUGGCACGUCCAUUGCAUGUCCGUACGUGAGUGGAAAUAGCGACUGUGGCAGUGUACCCAAACGGCUUCACCACUCUCAAGCAUGAUGCUCUGAGAGUUGAAUUGAAAUGGAGGGGCGUUCUCAUAUUGCAAUUGUUGUUCCUAGAACUGAUGAGUCAAUCAGUAAAUUGGUUCAGCAACCUCAGAAGUUAAUAGAUCUCCGUGAGGUUCGCGAUAUUACUCAUAUGCCAUUUGCAGAAAGAGAUGACUGAAGGGAAACGGGUUCCUCUGAAUAUUACUAAAUUUGAUUAUGAAUGUUUGAGAAAGACCGCUGACAGUCAAGCAUAUUAAGGGGAUCCAUAUAAAGAAUUGUGGGUGUCCUUUGUUGACCGAGUUGGUCUUAGUCACAGAUAUCCUCAUCCAUGGCUGCUGAUAUAUCUCCUAAUUCUUCUUGAUGCUGCGGAAGAUAUUGUUGAAAUAGGAAAAACUGGGUGGAGAGAUCAAUUGUUACUCUGAUUUGAUUUUGGAUUGAAAAGGGAUGGGUUCAUUCAUGGAGCAUGUUCUGCCAGGAACGCUGUUUCUAGCAGUGAGUUUGUGGCACAUAUGCAGCGCAGUGGUGAGAUUUGUGAUGAACCCAAAGGGGUUUCAGGUUCGGGUUUUGAACCCAGUGUCUGGUUUUGAUGGAAGGCUUAGAUACUUGGAGCUUUAUGUGGUGGCAAUCGGAGCUUUUAUUGAUAUGUGCAUAGAGUUUUUGUAUUCAACUCAUCUCAAGUUCUUUGUGAAUGGGGUCUUGAACCCAUCUCACACGAAUGACUUUGAGCACUCUGGGAUGCUUCUCAUGUUCUUUAUUUUCGGGGUCGUCGCCUUGUUCUCCCAGCAAACCGGGCUUGUUCAAAACUGAAUAACCAAUGCUCAAUAGCCUUCACAUAGCUCCAUUCUGCCCUCACAUACUUCCAGCGCGUGACUUGUUUGAAUGAGAGCGACUUUUAUUGCCAAACAGUUACUUGGGGAACCGGUGACGUUACUCCUAUUGCAGGAUUGCUUGGCAAAUCUCAAUUCCAGAUUCACUUAGGAGGGAUCCUUGGCUGCUAAUUGGAAGGCUUCAAGACAGAAGGAAGCGAAGAGUGAUGAUACCAGGGAAGUGACUCAAUUAUCUACUCUACACUUGCCCGCUCAUGGCCCCAAAAUCUCAGAAGUGGUCAAGAAGUUGGAAGACUGCAUGUUCUGAAAUUGACCUAGCCUUUCAAAUCGGGUUCCCUACAUUGAAAUAAGAAGCAGUAGCAUGAGUUAUCCUCCAGAAUGGCUCUAUUCUCUGCAUGGUGCAUGGCCACCUUUGGGCCACAGUGCCAUUUCCCAUUUCACCAUCUCUAAUUUUGAAAAAUAUUCUUUUAAAUCCCAUUCUUCAAAUAAUUUUCUAGAUUUUAGUUUGUUUUAAAAUAAUUUCAAACUCGUCCACUUUUCAUCUUUAGUUUCUUUUUCUUAGAUUCCAAAAAUCCAUUUUUCCAAUAAAAUUUUGCUACCACUUUUCUUCCUAGCAAGCCAUUUUCAUAUCUCUUCUGUUUUUUUUAAAUUGUUUUGAAAUAAGCAAGAAUUAAUUCCGUAAUUCCGAAUAAUGGAAUUUAUGGAAUUAAUUCAUGCUAAGAUAAAUGGGCUUUGGUGGGGGCCCAACAUAUGAGAUUUUAUGAUUGAUUGACUGAUUGAUUGAUUCAUUAGCUAUAUGUGAUUGAUUUAUUCUGUUCCUUGGUAUACACAUUAUCCUUCUGUGUUUGUUCACUAACCCUGUUUCUGAUAGCACGUUACGGCUCGUGGCCCCGGUACGCACUCUCUAUACCUAUUCUGUUUCUCAUAUGUGCAUAAUUGAUUCGAGUAUUCAUUGCUUUCCUCAUCAAUUGCCACAUCAGCUUCAUUUUAUUAGUAGAGACCCGAUUUUAGGGACUUAGAGGGGUGCUAUGGUCUUUACCGUACCUUCCCGAUAAGUAACCUGACCCCCGAACCCGAUCCGGUUUUUCGUAGAUCACCUUUUCCAAAUAAGGAGUCACACUUAGGGUUUUUCUUUCUUAUUUUGUUUACCCUUUUAAAAAUAAAACAAAAAUACAGCUAAAAUCGAGCUCGCCAUUGAGUGGGAAACGCAUUGAGAUAGAUCGAAAUGCGGGGUCCACAACGCGUUCUUUUAUUCUCUUUAGUUUUAUAAAAAAGAUGGUAAAAAUGUAGUGAUCUUCUUUUAGUUUCUGUUUUAUAAGUGAGAGGGGACUAAGAUAGUAUUUAUUUUUUGACUGAAUAUAAAAAAUCAAAAUAUAUACAAAUUUACUUUAAUUAUAUUGGACGAUGUUAAUAGGUUACUUUUAGCUAAAUAAAAAAAAAAUCAAAACCUUAGAAAAAUAUUUUAAGUUUUAUUUACUCAAAUCAAUGUUUCCAAAAAUAUCCUUAUUGUCAAAACUGACUUAAAUGAAAAAUAAAUAAAAAAAUAUAAGCAAAAAACAAUUUAAUAGUUUUUAAAAAUAUUAUUAAAUCAUCAUUUGGUUCCCUUUUAUUCUGUCACUUUAAUUCUUUAAAACUAAAUUUAAUUCUUUUAUAACAAUAGAACAUAGGGGCCUAAGGUUGGAAAAUGACAAUUUACCCUAUUUGAAAAAAGAAAAAUUAUAUAUUCAUUUCUAGCCAAAAACAACUUUAUAUGUAAUUGUCAUUUUUUAUCAACCCCCACCGCUGAUGCAAAAGCCUUAACCUUGAAUGGAAUUUUAAUUUCAAAGACAUUUAGCACAUAGGAUAAAAAUUGUGCAUUUCAAUGAUCAAAGCUUCAUAUCUUAAAAGGUAGGUAAAUUUUAAAAUUCAACUAAGUUAUGUCUUCAAAAGACAAUAUUUAAUUGGAUUCUUUCGAGGUGUCAUAGAAUUAGAAAUAUUUUUUGAAUUAUUAUAUUUUAAAAAAUAUAUUUUUUUAAAUUGCCUUACUUUGUUCAAAAUGCCAAGAAGCAGGCAUAGGAACUAUAACAAAGCUCCAUCUCUAUUAGGGUACCAGAGAGGAUGAAUUGAAAAGGCUAGGAAAAUCUAAUUCCAGAAACUUCUACUUGCAUAAGAUACAGAGUGACUACAGAAUAUGCUCAAUGGCAUAGACAAGGAGGCCACACAUGCUUGCUUAUUUAGAUGGUGCAACAUGACAAUGAAAACUAGCAGGACCAGAAAUUACCUCUCACACAAACUGGUCAAGGUACUCAUCCACAGUUGUGUAUUUGACAUCGGGAUAUAGCUCUGAAGCCUCCACUCCAAAU
RNAcentral lists this long non-coding RNA (22577 nucleotides) under Vitis vinifera (wine grape). RNAcentral's name for it is "long non-coding RNA (VVIN_LNC000658)". The record is from RNAcentral. Lineage: Eukaryota; Viridiplantae; Streptophyta; Magnoliopsida; Vitales; Vitaceae.